ACCAUUUUCAAUAGCAUGCUAUUUUAGGAUUAAGAGAAUUCGAGUCGAUGGUAUCGUUUCUUUUUGACAAAAUGACGAUUGGAUCGUAUCUAUCUGCGAAAUAAAAGCGCACCAGCGCUCCAUUGGUAUAGUGCGUGACUACAUCAGCAUCCGCUUUUCACGACGGACGGAUGUCUGAAUCUGGUAAAUCUGCGUCAUACAGGUGUGCUGUGAACAGGUAGAUCAAACUAAACAGGCAGGUAGAUAUUGGAAGAAUGGGAUGUUGGAAGGUGGUACAGACGACCUGUACCAGGUGACCAAUCCGUGCUGGUCUACUACUAGGGAAGGAUGAGUAACGACUUACUCUAUUGUUUAAAACAGACAACACAAUUUUAUUUUUCUCAACAGUGACGAAUAAUUGGUUGAAUUACUUGGAAUAUCCCACAAAGAUGGUGAAACUAGAACAGGACGCUAUCAUAGGACUGGCUGUCGGGUUUGGUUCUAUUGUGGGCGGAAUCAUCCUGUGUUGUAUAUUGUGGAACUGCUGCUGUGGUUCAAAGGACGAAAAGGCCAAGUCGAAACGAAAGCCCGUCGGACCAUGGAUGGAGAUGUGUAACGGUAGUUCGUCUGACGUAGGAAGCACAAAAACGUCACAGACGCCGAUAUCAAAGCGGAGUCGAGACUCAUACAGUCCAAAAUAUGAUAACCGGAACCAGAGUCAGGAAAAGCCACUUCGGCAACCGUUCAAACAAAGCGCGGCUCUAAAUGACGAUGCUUACUAUGACCGCGCUUCGCCCGAUUACCACUACAGUAACAUGAACACGGAAAGUUAUGGUCAGCCGACCAGACCACCGUACAAACAAACUCGGUUACCGGAAAUGGACUAUCCCACGGGGUCGUCAUCUCAUCGGACAAAUUUCAGUUCAUCAGACUGGCACAGUGGUGUAAAUGUCGACAAACAGAAUGAAAGAGCUAUACACGACGUAAAGAAAAACCCCGAGGCGUUCUAUCAACGUUAUUUAUACUGAUGAUGCAGAUACACACGACGUAAAGAAAAACCCCGAGGCUUUCUAUCAACGUUAUUUAUACUGAUGAUGCAGCUUCACACAACGUAAAGAAAAACCCCGAGGCUUUCUAUCAACGUUAUUUAUACUGAUGAUGCAGAUACACACGACGUAAAGAAAAACCCCGAGGCGUUCUAUCAACGUUAUUUAUACUGCUGAUGCAGCUACACACAACGUAAAGAAAAAUCCCGAGGCGUUCCUUCAACGUUGUUUGUAGAGAUAAUUCUUAAUAAUGUCAGACAGAACGAACUGUACGUUCAGCUGUGGAUUUUGAGUUUGUACGUUCAGCUGUGGAUUUUUAGUCUGCAUUGUUCAGCUGGGGAAUUUGAAUCUCUGUAGUCAGCUUGAGAAAUGCAGUCUGUUCGUUCAGCUGUGGAUAUUGAAUCUGAACUUUCAGGGUUGUGAACUUCGAAAUGGCAGUAUCCGAUCACACAUGUUCUGGAUACUCCAAUUUUUGGCAAUACACUGUAGAGGCAGUCUGUCAGAUAGUUAUUAAUCCGCUUUAUAUUCACGAAUAUUCAUCACCGGUUACCAAUAUAGUAGUCUUGCACAGUCCAUGACCGUAUAGCCCAAAAUUCGUGAAUUUAAAAGUUAUUAUUUUGAUUAACGUUCGCGAAAUCAUGUAUUUUUCUAUUAUGUCUGUAGAGAUAAUGUCGAUAAUUUAGUGCAGUAUGUAUUCAAAAAUAGUGUAUAACAAAUAUAAUCAUCACAGAAAUAAAAAAAAAAACCUGUUAUUUACAAGGAAAAAAUCAGGUAAAACAUCGUGUUAAUGAUCAAACAUUUGUCGAAUCUGCCAAUAUCAAUUAGUCAGUACUUUUAUGGAAAACUUUCUGUAGAUUACGAGUUAUCUACCUUGAUUUGUGUUAAUGUGUGAUCUGUACGACCAGCUGGUCGGUCAGAGUUUGUAUAUACGUUUAUUUCUAUAAUACUAGCUGUGACUUAAUUGUAUAUUUAUUUCGUUUAUAUAUUCGCUCGAAGAUGGACGAUUCAAUCAAAAUAGAGAGGUAAUAUGGCAGAUUUAUAAAGUCGAUGUUGAAAUAGAAUUAAUAUGGCUUUUCUGUGGAUGUAUACGCAAGAGGAGGUACAAUAUGGUCAGACCUGAACGUAUAUUACAUAUGGCGGAGUCGAUCUCAAACUGCUUUGAUUCAAUGAUGUAAGUUUAGGAGCGACUUUUUACGAAUCGCAGAACGAGUACAGUGUAUUCUUCAAAAUAAGUGUAUGAAUCACAGUGUAGAAACGAAAAGAUAAAACACCAAUUUUCUGUCUAAAUCAUAAAACAUGCCCUGUAAGAUUGUUUCAUGAUUACACGUGAAAAUGAUAUAUAAGUAUUUACCACCCCCCUGUUCGACGUCAGGUGACCAUUUCUCCCAGCUGAACAUACAAACUCCAAUUAAUGGUAAUAAACUGGGGCCAUACAAAACAUAACCGAUGUUUUGGACACAGUUAGACGCUGAAGUGUGACGCUGAUCAGAUGUGAUGGAGACAGUCCGUCCGCGUGUCUGUAAAGUGACACUGAUCAGAUGUGAUGGAGACAGUCCGUCCGAGUGUCUGUAGAGUGACGCUGAUCAGAUGUGAUGGAGACAGUCCGUCCGAGUGUCUGUAGAUUGACGCUGAUCAGAUGUGAUGGAGACAGUCCGUCCGAGUGUCUGUAGAUUGACGCUGAUCAGAUGUGAUGGAGACAGUCCGUCCGAGUGUCUGUAGAGUGACACUGAUCAGAUGUGAUGGAGACAUGUAUAGUCCGUCCGAGUGUCUGUAGAGUGACGCUGAUCCGAUGUGAUGGGAGACAAUCCGUCCGAGUGUCUGUAGAUUGACACUGAUCAGAUGUGAUGGAGACAGUCCGUCCGAGUGUCUGUAGAGUGACGCUGAUCAGAUGUGAUGGAGACGGUCCGUCCAAGUGUCUGUAGAGUGACGCUGAUCAGAUGUGAUGGAGACAGUCCGUCCGAGUGUCUGUAGAGUGACGCUGAUCAGAUGUGAUGGAGACAGUCCGUCCGAGUGUCUGUAGAGUGACGCUGAUCAGAUGUGAUGGAGACGGUCCGUCCGAGUGUCUGUAGAGUAACGCUGAUCAGAUGUGAUGGAGACAGUCCGUCCGAGUGUCUGUAGAGUGACGCUGAUCAGAUGUGAUGGAGACAGUCCGUCCGAGUGUCUGUAGAGUGACGCUGAUCAGAUGUGAUGGAGACACGUACACGUGUAUAGUCCGUUUAUAUUUUAUAUUUAUAUUUUCAUGAUGAGUGGUCAUCUCAAAACAAUGACGAUAGUUGUUUUCAGGAUGUCAAAAUCUUUUCUUUUACAUACUUAUGUUGCUAAGUGUAAUGUUUUGAGAAAAACGCAUUCUGCUAUUGGAUUUACACUUUUCAUUUUGUUGUUAUUUGACGUCAUCAUAAGGUGACGUCAUAUUUCGGUAUUAUUUGACGUCAUCAUAACGUGACGUUAUAUAUUGGUGUUAUUUGGCGUCUUCAUAACGUAACGUCAUAUUUCGGUGUUAUUUGGCAUCAUCAUAACGUGACGUCAUAUUUCGGUGUUAUUUGACGUCAUCAUAACUUGACGUUACUAUUGUGUGACGUCAUUGGUUUGUCACUAUUGUUUGGUUUAUGUGUUCUCCUGGUAGCGGGUGGGGGUAAUAUCUUCACUAGUAUACAUACUAUUACUAAUUAAUAUUGCCUACAACUUAACCGAAGUGGCAGUUUAGUUUCCAUCACUAUUUCAUUCAUUUCCGUUGUGUAUUUUCCUUUUGUAUAUGACAUAAGUGAGUAAAUGUUUUUGUGCCUUGUUAAUUAAUCACUGUGAUAUAUGUUUCAUCGCGUACUGUUCUACAUAGAUAUUAAAUUCCUCGAUUACAUAGUGGUUACCUUCAAAUUGGCUAUAGUUGUACAUUGUACGUUUACAAGUUUGUAUUUUGUGUCAAUGUUUCAAGAUUUUCGUUCGAAGAUGCUUAAUCGUUGUAUAACCAGGGAUAUUGAGAAGGAAAGAAUAGCGGGUGAUAUUGAAAUUCAGUUCAGAACUGGAAAACUGAGGGUCAGAUCUGGAACUUUUCUACUGUAUACUUCCUUAUCUCGAUAAGUGUACUGAUGUAAUGUACCCGGGGAAACCCACGUGGUCGGGCAGGUGACCCCAUACUUUUUCACGUCCGAUCGGGGAAUCGAACCCCGGCCGCCUAGCGCUAUUGUUGAAAGGCAAGUGUGUUACCACUGUACCAUUCGGUCACCCAGCUUCCGAAAACUAAACCCGCUACUGCGUAAACAUGAAAUAUCCUCUUGAUUAAUGAUUUUGUCAUCUCGUCAUGUGUUACUAUGUCACGAUUGUUUUAAUUGAACGUUGUGUGUGUAUGUUAGUACAAGCAAUGCGUAGUCAGUCAUUACAAAAAUACAAUCAUCAGAGCACUUA
Pecten maximus is the source of this 4424-nucleotide long non-coding RNA. RefSeq lists it as uncharacterized. The transcript is spliced from 2 exons. Lineage: Eukaryota; Metazoa; Mollusca; Bivalvia; Pectinida; Pectinidae. The record is from RefSeq and is a predicted model, not a curated record.